CAGUGUUACAACUCUUUUAGAAUUUGUCUAGCAGGUCUUCCGGUCUCUACUGGGAGUUCCCAC
This is a non-coding RNA of Erinaceus europaeus (western European hedgehog), 63 nucleotides long. The record is from Rfam. Lineage: Eukaryota; Metazoa; Chordata; Mammalia; Eulipotyphla; Erinaceidae.